AGAGUUUGAUCAUGGCUCAGAUUGAACGCUGGCGGCAGGCCUAACACAUGCAAGUCGAGCGGUAGAGAGAAGCUUGCUUCUCUUGAGAGCGGCGGACGGGUGAGUAAUGCCUAGGAAUCUGCCUGGUAGUGGGGGAUAACGUCCGGAAACGGACGCUAAUACCGCAUACGUCCUACGGGGGAAAGCAGGGGACCUUCGGGCCUUGCGCUAUCAGAUGAGCCUAGGUCGGAUUAGCUAGUUGGUGGGGUAAUGGCUCACCAAGGCGACGAUCCGUAACUGGUCUGAGAGGAUGAUCAGUCACACUGGAACUGAGACACGGUCCAGACUCCUACGGGAGGUAGCAGUGGGGAAUAUUGGACAAUGGGCGAAAGCCUGAUCCAGCCAUGCCGCGUGUGUGAAGAAGGUCUUCGGAUUGUAAAGCACUUUAAGUUGGGAGGAAGGGCAGUAAAUUAAUACUUUGCUGUUUUGACGUUACCGACAGAAUAAGCACCGGCUAACUCUGUGCCAGCAGUCGCGGUAAUACAGAGGGUGCAAGCGUUAAUCGGAAUUACUGGGCGUAAAGCGCGCGUAGGUGGUUCGUUAAGUUGGAUGUGAAAUCCCCGGGCUCAACCUGGGAACUGCAUUCAAAACUGACGAGCUAGAGUAUGGUAGAGGGUGGUGGAAUUUCCUGUGUAGCGGUGAAUGCGUAGAUAUAGGAAGGAACACCAGUGGCGAAGGCGACCACCUGGACUGAUACUGACACUGAGGUGCGAAAGCGUGGGGAGCAAACAGGAUUAGAUACCCCGGUAGU
This 790-nucleotide ribosomal RNA is filed under the name uncultured bacterium. RNAcentral describes it as "bacterial SSU rRNA". It matches the Rfam family "Bacterial small subunit ribosomal RNA", at positions 8 to 794 of the family's 1533-position model. The record is from RNAcentral.